GGUGGCUCAGUGGCAGAGCACUUGCCUUGCAUGCAUGAGGCCCUGGGUUCCAUUCCUCAGCACCA
This is a non-coding RNA of Dipodomys ordii (Ord's kangaroo rat), 65 nucleotides long. Lineage: Eukaryota; Metazoa; Chordata; Mammalia; Rodentia; Heteromyidae. The record is from Rfam.